This 464-nucleotide ribosomal RNA is filed under the name uncultured bacterium. Its description in RNAcentral is "partial 16S ribosomal RNA". It matches the Rfam family "Bacterial small subunit ribosomal RNA", at positions 28 to 507 of the family's 1533-position model. The record is from RNAcentral.
GACGAACGCUGGCGGCGUGCUUAACACAUGCAAGUCGAACGGUAAGGCCCUUUCGGGGGUACACGAGUGGCGAACGGGUGAGUAACACGUGGGUGAUCUGCCCUGCACUUUGGGAUAAGCCUGGGAAACUGGGUCUAAUACCGGAUAGGACUACGCGAUGCAUGUCGUGUGGUGGAAAGCUUUUGCGGUGUGGGAUGGGCCCGCGGCCUAUCAGCUUGUUGGUGGGGUGAUGGCCUACGAAGGCGACGACGGGUAGCCGGCCUGAGAGGGUGUCCGGCCACACUGGGACUGAGAUACGGCCCAGACUCCUACGGGAGGCAGCAGUGGGGAAUAUUGCACAAUGGGCGCAAGCCUGAUGCAGCGACGCCGCGUGGGGGAUGACGGCCUUCGGGUUGUAAACCCCUUUCAGCACAGACGAAGCGUAAGUGACGGUAUGUGCAGAAGAAGCACCGGCCAACUACGUG